This 520-nucleotide ribosomal RNA is filed under the name uncultured Glomus. Its description in RNAcentral is "SSU rRNA". It matches the Rfam family "Eukaryotic small subunit ribosomal RNA", at positions 569 to 1091 of the family's 1831-position model. The record is from RNAcentral. Lineage: Eukaryota; Fungi; Glomeromycota; Glomeromycetes; Glomerales; Glomeraceae.
AGCAGCCGCGGUAAUUCCAGCUCCAAUAGCGUAUAUUAAAGUUGUUGCAGUUAAAAAGCUCGUAGUUGAAUUUCGGGGUCAGUAGGUUGGUCGUGCCACUGGUAUGUACUGGCUUCACUGAUUCCUCCUUCUUGAAGAACUGUAAUGUCAUUAAUUUGGUGUUGCAGGGAAACAGGACUGUUACUUUGAAAAAAUUAGAGUGUUUAAAGCAGGCUAACGCUUGAAUACAUUAGCAUGGAAUAAUGAAAUAGGACGUUUGACCCUAUUUUGUUGGUUUCUAGGAUCGACGUAAUGAUUAAUAGGGAUAGUUGGGGGCAUUAGUAUUCAAUUGUCAGAGGUGAAAUUCUUGGAUUUAUUGAAGACUAACUACUGCGAAAGCAUUUGCCAAGGAUGUUUUCAUUAAUCAAGAACGAAAGUUAGGGGAUCGAAGACGAUCAGAUACCGUCGUAGUCUUAACCAUAAACUAUGCCGACUAGGGAUCGGAUGAUGUUAAUUUUUAAUGACUCAUUCGGCGCCUUAC